This 478-nucleotide ribosomal RNA is filed under the name Polystira albida. RNAcentral describes it as "LSU rRNA". It matches the Rfam family "Bacterial large subunit ribosomal RNA", at positions 1909 to 2597 of the family's 2925-position model. Lineage: Eukaryota; Metazoa; Mollusca; Gastropoda; Neogastropoda; Turridae. The record is from RNAcentral.
CCAGUGAAGUUAUUUCAACGGCCGCGGUACUCUGACCGUGCAAAGGUAGCAUAAUCAUUUGCCUUAUAAUUGAAGGCUGGUAUGAAUGGUUUGACAAGAAUAUAGCUGUCUCUUUAUAAUUUAAUAGAACUUUAUUUUGGGGUGAAGAAGCCCCAAUUAAAUUAAAAGACAAGAAGACCCUAUCGAGCUUUAAAAAAAUUAAUGGAAUAUGCAAUAUUAAUACAAAGAUAAAAAAUUAGCUAUUAAAAAUUUUGGUUGGGGCGACUAAGGAACAAAAAUAGCUUCCUUUAUAAAUGUUAUAACAUACAGGUAUUGAUCCAAAAUUUUUGAUUAAAGGAAUUAGUUACCGUAGGGAUAACAGCAUUAUCCUCUUUGAGAGUUCUUAUCGAAAAGGGGGUUUGUGACCUCGAUGUUGGACCAGAAUAUCCUAAAGAUGCAGAAGUCUUUAAGGGUUGGUCUGUUCGACCAUUAAAAUUCU